GUUGGCCUAGUGGUUAGAGUGUCGGCCUCGGAUGUGGAAGGUCGUGGGUUAGAACCUCGGCCUAGUCGUACCA
Non-coding RNA from Potamilus streckersoni, 73 nucleotides. The record is from the annotation of a GenBank genome assembly. Lineage: Eukaryota; Metazoa; Mollusca; Bivalvia; Unionida; Unionidae.